GGGGGCGUAUUUGGUUUCGACGGGGAUUCAGGGGUUAAGAGAAGCGAGCGGCAGCCCCGAACUGCCUUAAAAGCGGGAAGAAAAAUAACUGCGAAUAACGAAAAUUACGCUUUUGCUGCUUAAUGCAGCAAACGUCGACCCUAAGCCUCCUGCGGCGUAGGCCACCGGCGUCAUAAAGGCAGGGAACGGGUUUGGCAAAGCUUUGAGCCAAACCGGCAUUUAUGAAGCUACCGUAAUGGGAAUUCUGUCUGCGGAAGUCCCAUGAGGGGAAUCCCAAAACACAGACUGCGCUCGGAGAUGCUCUUAUCGUCGGGUUUUCGGACAGGGGUUCGACCCCCCUCGCCUCCAUAA
Molecule: transfer-messenger RNA, 351 nt
Filed under: Clostridiales bacterium
Lineage: Bacteria; Bacillati; Bacillota; Clostridia; Eubacteriales
Also listed under: 1 other name
Rfam family: transfer-messenger RNA
About the family: Bacterial tmRNA, also known as 10Sa RNA or SsrA, is named for its dual tRNA and mRNA-like properties. Its role is to liberate the mRNA from a stalled ribosome.
Source: RNAcentral